RNAcentral lists this ribosomal RNA (497 nucleotides) under uncultured bacterium. Its description in RNAcentral is "partial 16S ribosomal RNA". It matches the Rfam family "Bacterial small subunit ribosomal RNA", at positions 28 to 507 of the family's 1533-position model. The record is from RNAcentral.
GAUGAACGCUGGCGGCGUGCCUAAUACAUGCAAGUAGAACGCUGAAGGAAGGAGCUUGCUCUUUCCGGAUGAGUUGCGAACGGGUGAGUAACGCGUAGGUAACCUGCCUGGUAGCGGGGGAUAACUAUUGGAAACGAUAGCUAAUACCGCAUAACAGUAGAUGUUGCAUGACAACUAUUUGAAAGGGGCAAUUGCUCCACUACCAGAUGGACCUGCGUUGUAUUAGCUAGUUGGUGAGGUAACGGCUCACCAAGGCGACGAUACAGAGCCGACCGGAGAGGGUGAUCGGCCACACUGGGACGGAGACACGGCACAGACUCCUACGGGAGGGAGCAGUAGGGAAUCUUCGGCAAGGGACGGAAGUCUGAGCGAGAAACGCCGAGUGAGGGAAGAAGGUUUUCGGGUCGGAAAGCUCGGUUGUAAGAGAAGAAAGAGUGUGAGAGUGGAAAGUUCACACUGUGACGGUAUCUUACCAGAAAGGGACGGCUAACUACGUG